AGGACGUGCUGGGCAGGGGCUCCCAGAAGGAGCCAAGGGCCAAGCAAGAGGGAGAAGGCUGGGGCCGGGGCCGGAGAAGAGAAGAAGGAAGUGGCGGCUGGAGAGGGAGGGGAUCCAGAUUUUCUAAGUCAAGCUGAGCAACUUGGAUCUCACCCUGUGGACACGGGGGAGCCGGAGAAGGGGUGGCUCAGGCCGGCGUUUCAGAACGCUCCCUACCGCAGUGGAAGAAGUUAGAGGCAAGACCAGGUCUGCAGCGGGUGAGGAGGCUGCUCAGGAACCCAGGGCGGGGCGGCAGCCUGAGGACAGAGUGGGAGCUGGGCAAGCCUCAUCUGGGGGCUGGGGGCAACACCCUGGUUUCUGGUUCAGGCAUCUGGGAGGACAGAGGAACCCUUAGCAGAGCCACAGAGCCCUGGAGGGGGAGCACGGGGGUCAGGAGAAGCUGGCUAGCAGCAGCACUGGACUCGGGUUUCCCCAGCGGAGGGCAUGUGAGCCACAGCAGAGCCAGAGGGCACCUCAUGGCAGGCCGGGACGGGAGCGGCAUCCCAGUGCCCCUGGCAGGGUCUCUGGGCUCCAGCAGAUGAGCGUGGCCACAGGACAGCCAAAGGCUGGGAAGAGUCUGGAGCAGUGACCACAGAGUGUGCACUGGCUUCAGCCACAAAGCGGUGGCUUGGAAGGGGCCUGAGAAGUGCCAGCCUGGAGAGCUAGACUUCUGUGACCCAGAAGCCCACAAGGAGCCCCCUGGGAGGUGACAGGGUGGUGAGAGUGGGUGUCCUCAUACCUUUCAAAAGCUGUGAGUGAAAGAGAUGGGGAGGGAACGAGAGGACCAUGUGGGGUCUCAGGCAGGGUCAUCAGAUGGGUGCAGUCACCAGUGAAAGCUGAGCUUCAGGUGAACAAGGAAUCGUUCCUCAGUGUAAGUGCGUCCUGUGCAACACUGAGGACAGGCUUCUACUACAAAGUGUCUAUCUGAGAUCCAGAUGUGACCGCACACCCUGCACUCUUAUUUGCUGAAUGUGGUCAACCCAGUGAAGGGAGUCCUCGGUUCUCUUAACGGGGAGGUUUGAAGAAGGCUGAACGCAGAUAUUAUGGGGGGUCCAGGCGCAAGGAGGGGGCAGCUGCCUGAGAGGACGGGAGCGCUCAGGGGAAGCGGGUGUGGCCUCCAGCUAAGAGCAGAGGACAAGUGCAGAUGCGGGGUGGGGGCCCCGGGCUGGGAGGAG
RNAcentral lists this long non-coding RNA (1214 nucleotides) under Marmota monax (woodchuck). Lineage: Eukaryota; Metazoa; Chordata; Mammalia; Rodentia; Sciuridae. The record is from RNAcentral.